This 1191-nucleotide long non-coding RNA is filed under the name Monodelphis domestica (gray short-tailed opossum). RNAcentral's name for it is "lncRNA (ENSMODG00000042840.1)". Lineage: Eukaryota; Metazoa; Chordata; Mammalia; Didelphimorphia; Didelphidae. The record is from RNAcentral.
AAAACAUAUAAAUUAGGUUAAAAUGCUAAAUGAAAGUAGCUCUUUGAAGUACUCUAUGCCCUUCAGGGCUCUUUGCAGGCAAUUGCAAUCUACUGGUGAUCUAAAAAGCUAAGACUUUAGAUAAGCUGUAGCAAUUAUUCCAAGAUGCUUUAGACUACAGGAACUCUACACCACAAGUCUGGAAGAAGCCUCAGGGCCAUCUGUUGCCCCUCAGACUCUCUGAUUCACUUCAGUAUAUUUGUGGGGAUUUCAUAUGCUUUUUUGUGUCUGAUAUACGAUGUAAAGUUUGCAUAUUAGACUUAAGUUGUAAUCCAUUUGCUGUUGAGAAUGAAUUGUAUUGGAAAAUGAAAGGUUAUUGCAUGACAAUCAUGUGCUUGGCUAUUGCACUGGACAGGUUGUUGGACCAUCAGAAAAUAGCACUGAAUGUACUGUUGACAUGAUGUAGAAACUCUAAGCUGUUGGUUUUUGCCAUGUGACAUUAAAAAAAAUGGUAAAAAUGAACCACUGGGCAGUUUGGCUUAUAUUUGAUUCAAAGUAUGUAGAAUUUGAGUUUGUUAUUCUGCUUUUUUUGCAAAAGUGUAUUUGCUCAAAUGGCAUACCAUUAAGUGUCACACAUUGGCAUAAUUUGGCUUUUGUUAUGCAGAUUGUUAACACCAGCUAUUAAAAUAUAUUUUAGUAGAAAUGCUUUAAUUCAUGUUCUUUUUCCCUUUACACUGUGAAUCUUGAAGCUUUGGUGGACUACAACAUGAUUCUACCCUAAAUACUAACCUAUGCAAACUAGAUCACAUUUCAUUUGAUGUCACAGUAAAUGUAAUAUGAUAUUUUUCCCUGCAUAACAAGCAAUGCCAUUGAAAAAAUGGUUGAGUCUCACAUCAUAUAUGUUCAUCCUGGUCAUCGAAGUCACUCUUCAAUGCAACUGUCAUCAUUAGGAUGAGUUUAGUUCAUUUGGUUUGGUUGAUGGAUUGUUAAAAUGAGAUUGCCCAGUGAUGUACACCUGCUAUAGCUCCAGCUUGCUCACUUUGAGUGUUUUCCUCAAAUAGAAAUGUGUGUAAAAAUGCCCUCCCUUCAGGGUAUGGAUGUUCUUUUCUCCAUUCUGUAUUUGUGAAACUUUAUAAAAAUCAUUAAUUUUCCAUCCCUACACACUUGGUUUGCUUAAAUAAAUGCGGGUAUUGAUGAAAUGGGGUCUACUGC